Gallus gallus (chicken) is the source of this 8590-nucleotide long non-coding RNA. NCBI's taxonomy places the organism in Eukaryota, Metazoa, Chordata, Aves, Galliformes, Phasianidae. The record is from Ensembl.
GGGGCCGGGGCGCUCCUCCUCUGCAGCGGAGAGGGAAAGGGAAAGCGAAAGGGAAAGAGCAGGCGAUGUCCCCGCAGUGGGGCCGGGGCAGGCGGCACACGCAGCCCGCAGCGGGGGGCAGCAGGUAGGCGAUGCUGGAGAUGGCUGGGACCGAUGGAGCCGAGCUGAUGGACCUCGAGAAAGAGGGCACGUGGUCAUACCCAGGAGAUGCACAGGGUGAGGUCCCACCAGGACACCCCUCACCACGGGGAUGCAGCAGUUGAUUCUGGGGUCCCGUGGCAGCUCCACAUCCACAGUGACCAAAGGGCCCACAGGGACAGUGGCCCUGGAGGUAGCUGGUGACUGAAGACUGCUGGAUUGCUCCAUACCUGGAUGAGAUGUGUGAGGUCGCCGGGGAUGCUGGUGGCUGUGGGUCUCCUGAUGACCACAGCCAAGGCAGGCCAGGUUGGAUGGGGCCUUGGCAACCUGAGCUGGAUUUCAGCCUCCAGAUUUCAGCCCCCCAAAUGUGCCAAGCGUGAACCUUCAGCGAGAGCUUCAUCCACGCAACCCAUGCUGGACUAACUCAUCCCAGUCCAACCGUUCCCUGCAGCAGGAGUUUUGCGUUCAUGGAAGCACCUGGUGUAUUAGAAGUUGGUUUUGGAAUGCACUCACAGUGCCAACAGCCACAGUGACCGUCCUGCUGCCGGGCUGAGCAGUGGGGGGCUCUGCACUGGGGGAUGGAGCCUGAGCUGUGGCCUUGGGACCUGGCUGAGUUUCCCUGCUUCCAGCUGGGGGAUGGGGACAUCAGGAACAGGACCCAUCUAGGAACAGGAGCAGGUGCUGCCUUGCUUACCAUGGGGCUUUAAAGGCCAGGCUCACCCCAGCAAGGCAGUGGGUCCUCAGUUAGCUGCCCAGCUCCUUGUAAGGUCAUAUUUGUCAUCUCAAAAUACAGUUUGCUGUAGAACAGAGAAUAUUUAGAAGGGAUUUGAUAAGUAACAUCUGCUGCUGUACUGAAAUUUCAGUUCGAAGUGCUAAAAACUUUAAAAAGAAAGAGGUUUGGGUAAAAAUAAAAGGUCUCUGGAGAGGUCUCCUUGGCAGGAUCCUCCUCUCCUCCUUACACACAGCAGAUUUGUUCAUGUUUGCCAUUAUCCAUCAAACCAGAGCGCAGCAAAGGGCAGCUUUCAAGAGAUGAACCUGGAGGAGAUAAUAUUUCACACCGCAUAAAAUGCACCUCGGGAAUUUUCAGUUCUUCUUCCCUGUUACAUUACAAGGGCCUUCAUAAAAAGUGUCACAGCUCACGAGCUAAAAAAGAAAAAGAAGAAAAGAGAAAAAAAAAAAAAAAAGCAGCAGCUUGUGGCUUUGGAUGCAUUCAGUGCGCGUUUGUGGUCGGCGUUUCCCAGGCUGCUCGGGGGUGAGCGCCAGGUCGGCCCUCGCACGGCGCUCUGCAGGCGCUGUUUCUGUAUGAGUGAUAGCAGGCACUGAACGGCAGCACUGCGGCUGAAGGCUCCAUCCUGCCCAGGGGGUUGGGAUGGGGAUGCAGCUCCCAGCCGCCCCGCUGCUGCUGCUGUGUUCAAUGAGGUGGGAGUGGGCGCUAACCCGGGGUUUGAGGGAUAUAAGUAGGUUUUGCCUCCUCUAACGGAGAGGUUUGGCUUCAUCCUCGUUCAACUUCACUGCCACAAGGUGAGAUGGGGAACGGAUGGGUGAGCGUACAAAUGAGGAGGUGCUGCAGAGCAGCCUCAGUGCACAAUGUGGGGCAAUGUAAGUCACCGAGUGCUGCCGUAGGAAGAGGUGGGAGGCUCUGGUUUGGCAGUUACUAUAGCAAUUAACCCAAGCCCAGGGUUCCCCUGGGUACAGCCCUGGCGGUGCCUGCAUGCUCGCUGCAGAUGGGUUGUUGUGGUGCUGGGGUGUACUUGUGUGCUUGAUCUGUGUGUAAACACAAGAAGGCAGAUAUACAAACACUGCCCUGCACUCAACCUGGCUGCUCUAAAACAAACCAUCAUUAGAGGGAGGCAGUCCAGGAGGUCCAACCCUGACGCACACGGCUGUGCCUGCUGCCAGCCUGCUGCACCGAUGUGUCUUGCUUCCACAGAGCUCAAUUCACCGCACCAGAAGUAGUCCUAAAACCCAACACAAGGGACAGAUCCUUUGGUUUUCCAUAUUUUCUCCCCUGGGUAGGAAACAGGUCAGGUCUGCCAGCAGAACAGACCGCAGCAGAUGGGUUGCUUUCCUACUGCACUUUUUUGCAUGAAGGAAGAUGAUACCUUACACGUGAGGUGCCACCUCAGUCAGUCACUGCACAAUGCCUUUCCUUGUCCCCUCCAUGCCCUCAGCAGUCAGACAUCUGACUCCGAUUGCUCUCUUUCCCACUUGAUGUAAGGAGUAUUGUGCACGAAGAGAAGUGCACGGAGGUGAAACCCUCUGAGAAACAUUGCGGCCACUUCUCUUUUCCCAUCAGCAGAUAUUGCUUCAGUUCCCAUUUCCUACUAUUGACUUUUGUUGCCUUUGGGCCCUGAUCACUGGCUGCUUGCUAAGGAUUUCUGAGCCUUGGACCAUGACCUAAUUUCACUAUUUAAAAACAGAUCUUCAGUAUUCCUAUUGUGCUUUGUCUUUGAAUGGGCAUUUCUGCAAAACAGUUCCAUUUUCUCUGCCUGCAAGCAACACAAGAUCGAGCAAGGCGCUCACACCGUGGUACCAGCAGGGCCCAGCCAUGGGAACAAUCCCUGUCCCCCCCAUCCGGAGCCCUCUGCCCACCUCCCUCCGAUCAGACCCCGUGCUCCCCCCAGCCCUUCAUCUUAAAGAAAAACACCACAAUCACCACUGUGUAUCUCAGACGCCCUGCAAAAGCUGUGAGUUGCAGACCGCCAGAAAACUGCUCAGACGGUCACAGCGGCUGAGCAAUGCUGGCUCUCACCAUCACCGCUCCGCUGCCGUCCUGCUGCUGCUGCCCCAGGCCCUGCGACCUUUGCAGUGAUUAUUUUCGGUCCUGCGGAAAAGGAAAUAGGAAGUAGAGCCACUCAGAUGUGUUUUCGCACACCGCGGGGCUCUCCCAUGCUCAGACAGCACUGCUCGCUCUGCGGAGAGCUCUCGUUGCCAUUUAUUCGCUCUGGGAUGUUGCAAUCAGACCAAAACGGCAGCGCGGCUACCUGAGGGUGGAAGUGGCUGAGGAAGCAGAGAGCAGUCCCGGCAGUGGGGAUGCACCGCUGAGGUCAGAGUGGGACACAGCUUGAAAGAUGAGCACGGCUGGGCUCCAGGGCUUGGGCUGCAACCACCCUGCUGUUCUGGAGCCUCUGAUGCCUGGCUCAGAAACGUAUCUAAGGAGGUUUGUGUGUUCUUGUUCAAACUGCACUCAUUCUUGGCCUUAAUCCCACCUUCCCCUCCAACAGACAGGCUUUGGGUUUGGCUCUGCUUGCUGCCACACAGCGGUGCUGAGGACUGCCUCUGCUCAGCAUUAAUAGAGGGUCUGAGCAGCUCUGGUGGGUGCCCAAAAAGGACAGGGACCAGCUCCAGGCACAAGGCAAAACGGAGCUUCUGCUCCCCAUUACUUCCUUAUGCAUUCAUAUACAGAGGACAACGGUGUGGAGGCCAACAAGUUCAGAGGUGCUGCACACCUCCUUCCAGCUCUGCUCAUCAGCCUCACCUCCCGUUUUCUUCAUCAACAAGUGAGGAAUGGUCUGGUGUGCUUGUUCUAGAAAUAAUGUGCAUUCCAAGGCACUUCCCACACUGCAUAGAGGCAGAGGGACUCUUUUACUUUGGUUUUCUGCAUCUAGAUUGUUCCACUGAGGAGGAUUCUUGAGAAAUUAAAGCCAUUUGUGUGCAUGGCUGCAGCACUAAUAAAACCCAAAUGUGGGCAGAGGUUCUAGGAGCUUUGCUCUUGGUGACUUGCCUUGUCUCAGAUAGCAAAUUUAAGGCUUUAACAUGAAAUAAUUUGGCAGAAAAGCCACACAGAGACUGAUGGUGACUCAGCUCUGCUGCCGAAGGCGCGUAGAGGGCACUGGCUGGGAGCUCUGCUGUGUGUGCAGAACAUGAGAGCUGUGCUGGCAGAGCUGUGAGCGUGGGGGAGCAGAAGGAGCUGACUGAAGUACCAGCAAAACUUUACAAGAACUCAGCUCAGCUGAAGGGAUGCUGGAGGAGGCAGCUGCUGGUAACAGAGAUAGGAAACAGGUGGUAAAUCAGUGCCUAAUGAGGGGAGAGCAAAGAACAGCCUCAGUUGUGGUUACCUGUCCUGUGUUGGAGGAAUGGAGCAGAGCUGCAUGAAGGUCGGUGAUCUCUUCUUUGCGUUUGCUGGCUGUGGGCUUGGUGGGAUGAUGGAAGAAUGCCUGGAAGGUAAUGGCAAAAAUAAAUUCUUGCUCUGUCUGACCUGUGGGGCUGUGAGUGAUGGAGAUCAGGUGGUGGUGGUGGUGGUAGGAUGCAGAGUGAGAGGGAAGGAAGAAGACUGGUUAGCUUGGAUCCUCAGCAUGGCCUUAUGCCCUCAGGCAGCACCUCGGCUUGCAGCAAGUAUGAGGCAGAGGGCAGCAGCAAGGUGUGCUCUGGAAAUGCUCUGCUGGAAUGUGGUUUGGGCCAGGGGGAUGUUGGCAGUGUGAGCAUUUCCACUGCCACCUCCCUGAGCACUGCGGGCUGUUGUCAGCAGCGGAAUCACAAACAGCCACAAAGGACGCGCCCUGAUUUAUGCAUCAAAUACCAGGAAAGGCUUAAAUUCUGUUUGUCACUCAGCAGAUGGUGACGGUUGCCCCAGUAUGUGAAAUAUUUCAUGCCUGACACCUCAAUUCAGGAAACAGUGGUUUGCUCAGCAGAGGCGCAGGAGGCAGCGAGCUGUUAUCGAGGGUAACAUUGCCCUUUGCUUCUUUCUCUCUGCUGACAGAGUUUGUUUUCUAGAGCAGUGCUGUGCCCAUGGGCACAUGCAGUGGGGCACACCCCCAAACCGUGUUGGUUUUUUGGGUGUUUGGUACCAUAGUGAGUUCGUUUUCCUGCAGGGCCUGGCUGCUGCCUGCAGCCCUCACUUGCUGGGUUCCUGUUCCCUGGGCACCUCGUGCCUGAGGUUUGCUGAACCACAGAGAGCUCAUUGCAAAACUGGGCCGUGGAAAUCGCCCCUGGUGCUCUGAGCUGUUGUCCUGUAAGGCUGGAGCAAAGCCCUUACAGAGAAGGCAGCAGCAGGGGGGUGCUGCACCAUCCUCUCACCUCCCACCUGUGCCCUGGAGGUCCAGUGCCUCAAAGCAGAACCAAGCAAAGGAAGGUAGGCAUCUUCCUCCUUAUUCUCACCUGGGUUAUCUUCCUGCAUGUCCUUACACAGGCCAUGCUAUGACCAGAACUUCCUCUUGUGCAGACAGAGGAUGUGCUGCUCUCAACCUUGGAGGUGCUUCCUGGUUUCCCAGGGGGUUGGCAACACCGUAACCCAUCUGGAGGUGGUUGUGCAGCUGUGGAGGUGCAGGGCUUUGCUCCAUGGUGCACAGACCAACAACCUUUGUGCUGUGCCCUCUGAACCCCCUGCAGGUGCCCCAAAUCCCAGUGUCACCUCAUCAGGGAGAAGGAACAGCCACCAGAACUGGAGGACGCCCCACAAACACAGCAGCCCUGGCCCACAGGGUGGGACUUGACAGUCCUCAUGAUGUCUUGUCUGGCGUCAGCAGUGUGAAAAUGGGUUGUACCAGCUCUGAUUGGACUUUUUUUAUUCAUAAUUACCCCUUAAACUCACUCUGAGUGUGCAUUGAGCUGGGGAGAUGCAUGUAUUCUGAGUGAAGCACUGGGAUUCUCCAUGCUCUGAAGGUAGGAGAUAUGGGCAGGCGUGUAGCUAUUUCCUGCAGCAGCAUCCCCGUGCAAGCAGGGUGUGGGUGCAAAACACUCUUGUUCAUGGAAAGCAACAAAAACCUUCUGCAGAGCACUCAGCUUGCAUCUCUGUAAUACAGGAAAUCCUUGAUUUGGGUCUGAAUGCAAGUUACAGUGCAAUGUAUUUCUGUGGUAUGGUGUGAAUGCACCAGCUUAGAGCCCUGGAGCUGCAUCCUGCUCCCCACCCCAGGUGGGCUCACAGCUGUCCUGCAGAGCCCUCCCCAGCAGAGGGAGGCUGCCUUGAGAGGCCCUGGCCUCUUAAAAUCAAAGGAAAUUUUAAUGGUAUCUUCCCUAAAAUCAACAGCUACAAAAGGACCGUUUCAGUAAUAAAUAGAGCUUUAAUUAAGGCCACCGCAGAGCUGACAGCUGCUCAGUCACAAGAUCUGACUUAAUAAUAGGUCCAAGAACAUACCUUCUCCUCACUGUGGGUUUGUUUUAAAAACAACCCUCCUCCCUUGUCUGCUGCUUGCUCUCAUCUGUCUGCGCCGUGGAGCAGAUGCUGCUCUGUGUGAUGAGUGUACAGCAGCAGGGAGCACUGUGGUCCUCAUGCAGCUGCCGCAGCCCCACGGCUCAGGCGGUGCUUUGCAGGCAGCAUCCAUGGGGCUUUGCUGUGGCUCAGGUGUUGUUGUUUGCUGGGGUGAGCGUAAUGGAUGUUAUGCAUUAGUAGAUAGGAAGCGGGUGCAGUCCACAUGCUGCUCUCUGCGUCCUUUGGCAGCAAAGGUGGAGAAAACAAAGCAGUACCUGCCUGGACUUGGCUCCCAGUUCAUUUCCUCUUUCUGAAGAUGACUGGAAGACCUUUCCAGCAUUCAGCUCAUCGCAGAACAAACCCUGUGAAAUAUAUCCUUGCGGUGCAAGUGUGAGACCUGGGCAUGUUCCGUGUUGUGCCUGUGGUUAGCCUGGGUCUUGUUACCUAAAAGCACAGCUUGCUCCUAGCUGCUGUGUGUCAUGUUUGUGCUGGGCUUGCUUUGAAGCAGGGCCAGCAUCUUUAUGCUGUACUUCAUUCGCUGUGCUGCCACUGCUGAACCACCACUGAUCUGCAGGGAGCAAUGCCUCCCUCUGCUUUUGGUUGCCCAGAGACAAUUGCCAUUCUGCUCCUGGCAGGGACCUGCCCAACCACUCCUUUAACCUCCAUUACCUUUAACCGCUGCCCCACCUGCCUUAGCACAGGUUCCCAAGUGGGCAGAAGACAGAUAGCCCUCUUCCAGUGGCUGAGCUCUGUGAAAUGCACCAAGCUCUGUUCUGGGGGUGGUUCCCCAGCAGCAGUGCCACAUCUCCGCUCACUGCAGCAUUGGGUGGAGCAGCACGCAGGGUUGUGGUUUUGUACUGUGAAACAGAGAGCAAUAGGCAAGAGCUGUACCUGAGGUGUGAAAUUUCCUACACUGAAAUAGGGCUGUUGCUUCUCUUACCCUCCUGCUGUAGCUGAGCGCUGCUCUGUGCAACCAUCAGCACAGUCCUUGUGUGUUCCUUCUAUGCAACACAUGCACUGUGCGGUCCCUGAGAACAUCCCACAGCCCAGCCCUGGCAACGGGCAGCUGCAGUUCUGGCAGUAGGAACUAUGUCUGUUUGUUUCCUUGUGGCAGAAUUUUCCCCUAUUCCUGGACAUCUCCUGACAAACCAAUGCCUACUCCAUCCAUGCGUGUCCCUGUGCUUACUUCUGGCUUCAUCUAGCCUGCCCAUCCCACGGAAGGGAAGGUUAACAGUCCUGUGUCCAUGCAGUCUGGAUCCUGGUGCCUCAACUCGUGCUGGGUGCAGGGUAAGGAGAGCAGGGGCCACCACUUGCCCUCUGCCUGGCCAUGCUGCUACCCAUCCCCAUGGCUGCAGUGCUUGUUACUUACUCAUCCUUCUGCCUUUCUUCUAUGAAGUGGCACUGAUUUCCACCUUGCUGAGCAGGGCAACUAGUGGAAUGAGAGUAUAAUUGCCCUCAACUAGCAGUUCAGAAUCCCUAAUGCCAUGGUUUCACACCUCUGUUCACACCCAGCCAGUGAACUGAUGCACCCACCAGCAGUGGGACUAAUGCCUCAGUGCUCAGGGCAUGGAGAAAGCCCGUGGACUUUGGUGCAUGGUGAAGGAUGGGGGCUUCAGGUUUGUAGAUGUUUUCUCCCUUCCUAGGGAAGAUUUUCACCAAUCCAUGCUCUGAUGUUGACUUCCCUGUAGGCAUUUCAGCCAAGAAGCCAACCCCAUACUGUGCAGUGGGACAGGCUCCUUUCCCCAGCCCUGUGCCCAGUGGGGCAGCAGAGGGCUUUUGUCAGCAGCAGUCAGCAAUGAGCCGCUCCCUUUGUGCCAUGUUGGAAGUGUGGGGCUUUGUGUUGUGUGUACAGAUGUGGGGGAACCUUGGGAACCAGCAGGAAACGAUGGUUCAGUGCAGCCAGAAUGACAUUUGCAGACCUGCACAUCUAGCUGCUAAAUCAGCAGCUGUUUGACCUUGCAAUACUAACAAGAGUUUACUAUUAGCUCCAGUUAUAAACUCAUACCUUUGGUCUGAAGUAUGGCUGCCCUUUAUAGGUGUGAUAUCUUAAACCACGUGGUUGGCUGGAAAUGUGUCCAAUUAUCAGACCCGAUCAGCAUGGCAAACAAAGCUGGGGCAGUAACUGUGGGCUGUGCUGCCUGCGGGGCAAAGCUCACCGAGGUGCCUCUGCUGUGGGCACUCAGAGCAGAAGGUUUCUGGGCACAGAACAGCUCUGCACCACUCUGAGGGUGCUGCUGAUGGGGGGCUGGGAGCUCAGAAGGGUGCUGAGCAGAGCACCUUAAUCAGAGCUGUGAAAAGCAGCAAUGCUUUAUUUGUAGGUGAAGG